UACGAAGGGGGCUAGCGUUGUUCGGAAUUACUGGGCGUAAAGCGUGCGCAGGCGGCUUCUCAAGUCAGGGGUGAAAGCCCACGGCUUAACCGUGGAAGUGCAUGGGAAACUGCUGAGCUUGAGUACUUAAGAGGAUCGCGGAAUUCCCGGUGUAGAGGUGAAAUUCGUAGAUAUCGGGAGGAACACCAGUGGCGAAGGCGGCGAUCUGGGAAGAUACUGACGCUGAGGUGCGAAAGCGUGGGGAGCAAACAGG
RNAcentral lists this ribosomal RNA (253 nucleotides) under uncultured bacterium. RNAcentral's name for it is "partial 16S ribosomal RNA". It matches the Rfam family "Bacterial small subunit ribosomal RNA", at positions 524 to 776 of the family's 1533-position model. The record is from RNAcentral.